CUUAUAGGAAUUUUUAGCAACUGUGUCGUUAUAUUUUGCUGCUUGGUUUGAAUUAAGGAGCGAGGUGAGCGUUAUUUCAUUCCACUGUUGGCUAUUGUAGAUGUGGUUGGAUGCUUUGUAAGUUGCCCAUUCUAUAGCAUGGACAACACAUUCUACUAUAAUUAUCCAAGUGACAUAGUUUGUCGGAUUUUUACAUUUUUACAAGCGUUUGUGGCAGGAUUUUCAGGUCACGUUUUAGGGGUAAUUUGUGUCCAAAGAUAUCUUUUAGUAUGCAAACCAUAAGGGCCAAAAUUGACAUUAUUUCGGAAAAAUGUAUCGUUUACAACUGCUUUUGUUUUGUCGUUAGUUUAUACUGCACCGCUUUUAGCAAUAUCAGGAAUUAAAAGCACGGAUGAAUUGUUUCUGAAUCAUACAGUUCAAACAACGCUUUGUAAAUACUAUGCCGAAGAUACUUCAGCAUCCAUUACAGCAUACUUUGGAUUUCUGGUUUUGAUCAGUGUGGUAAAUAUCAUUAUUGAUGCAGCACUCUUCAUUCCUGUUCUAAGGAGAAUAAACAUAUCUUUUUCUGGGAACAAGAGGAAAAAUGUUUAUCACAUAAACCAAGACAGCAAUACGUCGUCUAACACGAAAUCGGUUUCUCAGUCAAAAAAGACGUGUUCAAUCGAUUCCGAUACACUUAAGUCUGUAUCAAACCAAACAAAAACAUGUGGAAUUGGUGUAACGAAGUUCAUUUCAAAUCCUGAUGAAAAGUAUAAAAAGAAGGAUUUUUAAACAUAACAUCUAAUAAAGAGCCAUCUCUUGAUGAUGUAGAAAAUGGAACAUCUUUCGAUAAUACCACCAAAUCUGAGGAUAUAGUACCAUCGAACAAUGAAAAUAACCCGGAUGUAAAUCAAAGACUAGGAAAGAUGCCGUGAAAAGAAGAAUAACCAUAAUGUAUUUUGUCAUAAUUAUUACCUAUAUAGUAUCAUAUAUACCCUCUUUGAUUAUUUUAAUACUUGCUUAUGCAAUAGGAGAUUUUAAUGUCAUAACAUUAACAAAGGGC
Molecule: long non-coding RNA, 1042 nt
Filed under: Mytilus galloprovincialis (Mediterranean mussel)
Lineage: Eukaryota; Metazoa; Mollusca; Bivalvia; Mytilida; Mytilidae
Source: RNAcentral